AUACUUACCUGGCAGGGGAGAUACCGUGAUCACAAAGGUGGUUUUCAAGGGCGAGCCUUAUCCAUUAUGCACCGGAUGUGCUUGCCUCUGUGAUUUCUCACAUCCACAAAUGUGGGAAACUUGACUGCAUAACUUAUGAUAGUGGGGGACUCCAUCUACGUUCUCUUC
RNAcentral lists this small nuclear RNA (168 nucleotides) under Sorex araneus (European shrew). Its description in RNAcentral is "U1 spliceosomal RNA (ENSSARG00000015009.1)". It matches the Rfam family "U1 spliceosomal RNA". From Rfam's summary of the family: U1 is a small nuclear RNA (snRNA) component of the spliceosome (involved in pre-mRNA splicing). Its 5' end forms complementary base pairs with the 5' splice junction, thus defining the 5' donor site of an intron. Lineage: Eukaryota; Metazoa; Chordata; Mammalia; Eulipotyphla; Soricidae. The record is from RNAcentral.